AAAGUGUUAGUUUAUGAUUAAAAUUGUAAGUUGUCGGCUUAUAGAAACUAUAUUAGUACUCUUUG
RNAcentral lists this transfer RNA (65 nucleotides) under Haematopinus tuberculatus. Its description in RNAcentral is "tRNA-Asp". The record is from RNAcentral. Lineage: Eukaryota; Metazoa; Arthropoda; Insecta; Psocodea; Haematopinidae.